AUCAGCUCCAGUCACUCACAAGGAGGGGACUGAACUUUGCAAAAAAGAACACGGUGACUGCUACUAUUUUUGCUGCAAGGGCCUCCCCUUUAGACAGCUUGUGCCAGAGCAGGAGUUUUUUUUUCACAACAACUAACUGGAUUUUAACCCUCUACCUCCAGAUUCGCUGUAUGUUAGCUUCAAAUAGCAACUCAACACGGACUACAGAACAUAGUUGCACUUCUUUUCUUUUUUAAAUCUGCUGUCUUAAUAUUCUGGGAGAGGCCACAAGUUCCUUAAUUUAUUUUUAUUUUUAUUUUUUAUUUACAUUGAAUAUUUUAGUUUGUUAAUUUUUUUUAAUCACAAUUGCAGAUCAUUUUUUUUCCCUCCUUUUUUCUUGAUUUAAGAAAGGCAGAGCUUUGUGCUGCCCAUCAAAAAUGGCUGUAUUUUGUGAGUUCACUGCGCAUCUGCGGGUAAAGACAGUAUGCGAUUUGUAAGUGCCAGUAGCUGUAUUAGAAGUAUCUCUCUCUCUCUCUCUCUCUCUCUCUCUCUCUCUCUCUCUCUCUCUCUCUCUCUCUCUCGUUGGCCCUUUCUCCCUAUCGGGAGGGAGAGGGGUGUGCUGUGGAGCUCUUUCUGGGACAGGUGCCAACUCCUAAACAAAAGACAUAAAAAAGGCAAUGAAAGAAAAAUGCGUCGAUUGAUUUUUUUUUUAAUGUGUUACGUAGCGAAUGAAAGUAGUGAUGUUUGAUAUAAUAUCAUUGUUUUAUCUUUACUUUUAUUUUUGUAUCUAAUACAAAGCACAGUUUGCGUACUUUCUGUUCUCCAGUAGUAUAGUAAAGGCGUCUGAGUUAAGAAGAGAAGGUGGGGGUCCUUUUUCAGACUGUUGAAUUAUUCAUAGGCCCAGUGUUGAGGCCGGAGCAGCGGUGUUAUUAGCAUGCAUCAGACAUACAGUUUGUCUGUUUGCUAACAUUCUUCAUUCAAAGACUUGUUAACCACCAGACUAGCUUAACACAUGUCUUCCAACCACCCUUACGGCCUUAUUUUUUGUCCGUUACUGGCAGCCAAGGGGCACGAAUGGCACAGGGAGCAUGUGGUUGGGAGCUGGGGCUGGUUGCUAGGGCUGUGAAACCCACAAAAUGAAACCUUUUUUUUUUUCCUCUCACCCUUGCCUCAGCGUGUGGUUGCUGCUGACUGGGUUCUCCUGCCACUGAAUUCUGGUGUCUUGAUAAAGAAUUUAAGGAAAAGGAACAUGAAUGAAUGUGACAGUAACUGCAACAAGCUUUAAUCGCCCAUAAUGACAGGUGAUGUCCACAUCAGAGGUGCAGUAAAGGAAUGAAAUGGAUCGUUUUCAUUCCUGGCUUGGGAAUGUUGCCCUUUUUUAUGCAUGACAUAAUUCCUUUUGGGAUAAGAUGGAGACUGGUAUGGUAUGAUAUGAGAAAAUACAGUUUUUUCUCCCCACCGCCGUCAUACAUUUUAACCAGUAGAUUGUAGGGUCUUACACUGGAGUUAGACUGUCCUUUGGGGUGAGGUAGUAGGUUGUAUAGUUUUAAGGGUUACACCCUUCCUGUCAAUAACUAUACAACCUACUGUCUUUCCUGAAGUGGCUGUAAAUUCGUCGCUGGAUGAGUGCUCACAAACGCCUGCAGCUGCUUGUAGCUGUUUGAAAAACAACAUAUUGUAUAUAAUGUACUGUAUACAACCUACAUAAACACGUUUUUUUAUGCUGAGCUAAGAGGAUAAAUCUCCCAAGUUCUAAUGCUAUUUAUUUGCUGUCCCAUUCCAUCCCAUUGUAGGCUUAGCCCUGUAACAGCACACGUGUGAAGAAGUCAAGCAUUUUAUAAGGUGUUAUGAAGUUAGGGUAUAGGGGCUUUGAUGAAAGGAAAUUAAGCAAUAUAAUUCAACCUGUUUUCAUUUCAAAACUAUAUAUUCACCUAUAAAAUAAUAUGAUUUGCUUUUGUACUGUAUUGCACUUAUUAUAUAUCUUUAUUUCAUCAGCUUUUAUUUCAUUAUAAAAAAUACUGCAGAAUAUAGCACCUUUAAUCUUUGGUGCAAAGUGUUUUGUAAUACCUUGAAAGAUUCUAUAUCGGACCAAUUGAUUUUUUUUUUUUUUUUUGCCAUAUUACGCUGUAUGACUUAUUUCAUUCUAGCAGUUAAUUGUUAAAGGACGCGUAUGUAGCAUAAGUUAGCAAGCUUUGAAAAUUAUCACUUUUCCACAAAGGUAGAACAUUUUCAGCUGCUUAAGAUGUUUAGUUCAGUUUUUAACUGUUACAAAACAGACUACCAUAAGUAAUAUCAUUUCAGGCCUCCUAAGCAUGUAGAAGCAUGUAUUGUUUAAUAAAGACUGGCACAAACUCUUUAAAAAUGUGCCCUAUGGCUGUUCAAGAUGCGUCUCGUGUAUUAGGAUUAAAAAUAGGUCUAUUGUGGAUUCCUGUGUGAUAUUAGAAUGUAUUACAGUGCAUUUAGGUUUCUCACAAGCUGUGUAAGGCUUCACUCAGUGCAGUUCAGUUUCCACUGGCCCACAUGCUUGUUGCUAUCCUCUCUGCUAAUGUUCGCACAGGGUGAGGUAGUAGGUUGUGUGGUUUCAGGGUAGUGAUUUUACCCCAUCAGGAGAUAACUAUACAACCUACUGCCUUCCCUGAAGGGCAGCAGUGCAACUCUAAGAACAAGCAACAGUAAUCUUUAAUAGUUUAGUUUCAGCAGAAAUAUGUAGGGGACAUUUUCAAUGUUUUCAAUGCAACUUAAAACAUUUCCCAAAACUGGUUGUUUAUUUUAAAAUAAAAAUGUGUCAAAUUUUUGUAUUUGACUUGAAAGUUAAGUAAGGUAAAGUUGGUUACCAAGGUACAGCAGAUGCAUUUCAAAAGUUUGUAGUGUUUCACUGUUUUCAAUUAACCUCACAAAGAAUAAACACACAGGACCAGGAUAUGCAUCACCAGACUGCUGUAUGUUCCUUCUGAAAUUAUGUGUAAAUAUGUCUUUGUUUGUAAUGAACUUUUAUUACAUUAUAAAUAAACAAUUAAACAAGA
This is a long non-coding RNA of Polyodon spathula (Mississippi paddlefish), 3002 nucleotides long. RefSeq lists it as uncharacterized. The record is from RefSeq and is a predicted model, not a curated record. The transcript is spliced from 5 exons. NCBI's taxonomy places the organism in Eukaryota, Metazoa, Chordata, Actinopteri, Acipenseriformes, Polyodontidae.